This 918-nucleotide long non-coding RNA is filed under the name Physcomitrium patens. Its description in RNAcentral is "long non-coding RNA (PPAT_LNC006621)". Lineage: Eukaryota; Viridiplantae; Streptophyta; Bryopsida; Funariales; Funariaceae. The record is from RNAcentral.
UCGGCGUUAGUGUGCGUAGGAAAGUAUUUAAGUCUUGCAUAAAUCUCUAUGAUCACUUCGAAUGAUAUUCAUUUUGUGCCUUGUUCAAUUUGAAGAUAGUCAACACAACGGAGUUUCAUGUGCAGUGAAAAAGGCUUUUUAGAAGCAAACUUCCAAACUUAGAACAGCGUAGUUUAUGAUCAUCUUUUCAUAGAUGAAUACUGUAAAGGACGGGAUGGUGCGAGUGAGGAGUAUUCAGUGUCUGAUUUGAGCCGUCAUCACAAAAUCGAGCACGUGAAGACAAGACACUAGCACUGAAGUAUAGUGUCAAUGUGGAUGGUGAGAAAUAUCACUGCCAGGUCAUAUUUGUGUAAGUUGCAUGUCCGUGUCAAUAACGUAUGUCAGGACAGAUCACGUGAGAUGUAUGUCGAUGCAAUUCAAAGAUCAGCCGAAACCUUUUGUAAUGCUUGGUUCCAUUGUACCUUUGACAGUCAUGACAUGGUAAAAUACAUCUCAACCACAACAACCUCGACUACGAGCUGUCUCUGAGGUCUCUUCCAAUCUUAAACAUCCCGCCAUCGCUGGAAACGAAUGUUCUAACUCGAUUUUGGCAACGGAAGCAGCAUUAAUUCCUGAGUUUCUACAGUCUCUAGGUGUAAAACAGCAGACACACCAUACCUCAUUGGAUGCGAUUGUAGCACGGAUUGAAGCUUUCUUCACCUCUGGAUGCCCUUCAUCUUCGGAGAGAGCUGCUCUCAAAUAGCCUUGCGACAAAUAUAAUCUUGGAAUUUGUACUCUUGCUAAUUACGUACUUGACUACUAAUUACACAACCUUGUCAAAUAGUUUCUGUAUCAAUCAAUCCAUUCUGAUGAGAAUGAUAUGCAUCUUUCGAACCCAUCUCAUCAAUGCUGCUCAAAUCAGACUUCCAAAAUUAUGUU